This is a non-coding RNA of Delphinapterus leucas (beluga whale), 1985 nucleotides long. The record is from RefSeq and is a predicted model, not a curated record. Lineage: Eukaryota; Metazoa; Chordata; Mammalia; Artiodactyla; Monodontidae.
GAUAAAGGGAAGGACGGCUUCCUUAUGUAGUAGCCCCUCUUCAUCUUUAUUUACAGAACUUUCUUCAGGAUCCCUUUCAGGUGGGGCUCCUAAGACCCUGGAUUAGGGUACUUUAUGAGCACUAUGGGGGCGGGAGAGGGCGAAUUAUUCAUUCACUCAAUAAAUACUCAUUGGGUGACUGUGCCUGGCCCUUUGGGGUGAAGCAGCAAGCAAGACAGGCCCUCCAAAAGCUAACAUGUUAAUUGGGAAGGACAACAUUUACAUACGUUGGGAGAAACUUGAGCCUGUUUAAAUGCUGAAGGAAAGGCUUAAUAGAGAAGAGCUGAUAUUCAGAAGAGGGAAGAAGGAGGCAGUCUAGGACUGGGAUGGUGAUUCACCAUCUUGCUGUCCUACCAGCACAGCUUCACGUGGCCCAAGAUGACUGCUUGAGCUCCAGUCAUUUAGUCUGAGUUCAUCCAGCAGGAAGGAAAAAGAAAGGAUUGCUGGGAAGAUAGAAUAGACAUCGGUAAGGAGUUUUGCAUGCACCUGGCACCCAAUGAGUACUCCAUAAAUGGCCUUGUUGCUGCUAUAGAAGGUGCUGGAGGUUGAAAGGUUCACAGAUCCCUGCUGUACAGUUACCUUUCUUUGACCUUCUGAUAAACUCCAGGAAAUGGUUUUGUCGGGUCAGAAGAUGCACAUUUUUAAAAGGUUUUGCUGCAAUUGGAAAAUUGUCUUCCAGUUUGCAGGUGCAGUUUCCAGUCAUCCAGCAUAUAAAAGGGCCUGUUCUCCUGCCUCCAACCUGCAGCCAGGGGUCCUGGGAUUCUGCAUCCCCUGGGCCACUCUGCUCUUUAAUACUGAAGUGAAAAUCACCUAAGUGUCAGCCCGGGAGACCACGCCUUCCAAGGCUCGCUUUGCCAGUGACUUCCAAGCAAUGCUUUCUGUUUCCUGCUCUGACCUGGUUGCCACUCAUCACCUCGGUCACCUCCCUUCCUCUGGGCCACUGCCCUUCUCCCCAGAAAUGGGUAACCUCCUGCCAUCUGGUGACAUCUCCAGGCUUCAGCUCUCAGGAUGGCUUCUCUGGGCUCAGCACCCUCCCUGAAUUCCCUAAAACACAACUACCACCAACCUGACAAAACCUGGCUGCAGGUUUGGGGAGAACAAAAGGCAGAUUUAAAUCGCAGAUCAGGGACUUCCCUGGUGGUCCGGUGGUUAAGACUCCGUGCUCCCAAUGCAGGGGGGCCUGGGUUCAAUCCCUGGUCAGGGAACUAGAUCCCACAUGCCGUAACUAAGAGUCCACAGGCCGCAACUAAAGACCCAGCACAGCCAAAUAAAUAAAUAAAUAUUUAAAAAUUAAAAAUAAACUGGAAGUCCACAGUCUGGGAUUCUUCACGGGGGCCACAUGCCUGCUUUCUUCUUAGCCCCCACUGGCCUCUGUGCAGGGGCUCAGUGAGUGCCCUUGACUGGGUCCCUAUUGCCCAGCAUGUAGACCUCUCCAGCCCCCCACCCCAGGGGAGAAGAAAUCCUGGCCUCCCGUCUAAAGCUUGCUUCACCUCCUUCUCCUGCACCCUCCUGCACAGAGCAGUCCAAAAUCGAGAUUAAGGGGGAAAAAAAGUUCUUUAACUAGCUGACCCAGUUUAUAUAACUGAAUAGAAUACUUAACAUCUUAGUCUAAAGCAGCUGUCUUUGGGCGUCCCCAAGAACAGCAGGAAGCUCUUACUUCACAGCUGCCUGACCAAGAGGGCUCAAGAAAGUGGUCUUUCCAAAACAAUCCAGAACAAAGGGAGGAUCGUCUCUGUAAACAGAUCCCCUCUGCUGCCCUAGAAUGCAAAAGAUGUUUAUAACCUUUACGAUUGUCACAGUUUCUACCAUCGGCAGUUUUAUGAUGCAUUCUCCCAUGGCGCCCCAUGAUGCUCUCAUUUUAUUAAAAUGAAUGUUUGAUAAUUUAGUAAAAUUUAUUUUUUUUAAUUAAUUAAUUUAUUUUGGCUGCAUUGGGUCUUCAUUGCUGC